Long non-coding RNA from Cervus elaphus (red deer), 787 nucleotides. RefSeq lists it as uncharacterized. The transcript is spliced from 3 exons. NCBI's taxonomy places the organism in Eukaryota, Metazoa, Chordata, Mammalia, Artiodactyla, Cervidae. The record is from RefSeq and is a predicted model, not a curated record.
CCCGCGCGCCCUGGUUGCAGAGGCGCCGCGAAAUGCGCGGUGCGUCGCGGACGCUCUAAAGCCGCUGGUUUCCGGGCAACCGCCGGCGGGCGGCGCUGCCUCGCCUGCUGAGGUGGACGGCUCCUCGGGCAGGCCGGGGCUCCCGCAGUGGUCGCCGCCCUCCGGUCUCACCCAGAGCUUUGGAGCAGGGCAGGCCUACUUCUGUUGUGGAUGCUUUGAGGGCAGAUGAGUGACUUCAGUUAAAAGAUACCGUGUUCUGCCACCCUGACGGCGGGGGCGGCGCCUGAAGGGACCCGCGUCAAUCACGCGCUGCGCGCCCGGCGGGCACCUAGAGGGCGCCUCUCCGUCCUCUCGUUGGCGUCCUGGGGAGAGGCCGGGGAAGCCUCAGGGGGCGAGAAAAGGCGACCUGGGACUCGGCAGGACGUGAAUGUUCCUCAGGCGACAGGAAUGCGGUUUCUUUCUCACUGCCCUGGAAAGCUCCGAGCUAAAAGCGGCGCACUUUGGAAGUGAAUGGUGAAACUGCAAAGUCAAGUUCCAGCAGGCGCUUGGUGGAAGUCUUUUCUGAUCCCAUCACAGACUAUGAAGAAAAUAUUAGAAAAACUCCUAUAUAUCCUGGGUCCUGCCUUACUUUCUUUGGAAUAGUUCCUCAGAGCUAUCUGAGAGUCUGCUUCUCUGGCUAUAGUCUUUAGUAAGGUCCUUGAAUAAAACAUAGCUCUUAAGUUGUGGGUUCUGUGUGUGUGCGUGUUUUGCAAUUGUCACUUGUAGGCCCACCCCCUUUUAUUUUCUU